AACGAACGCUGGCGGCGCGUCUUACACAUGCAAGUCGAACGGCAGGAAGGGGCUUGCCCCUUCUGAGAGUGGCGGACUGGUGAGUAACACGUGGGUGACAUACCUUUUAGUUGGGGAUAGCUAUUAGAAAUAGUAGGUAAUACCGAAUGUGACCGUACCUGUUAGAGGGGUACGAGGAAAGGAGCUAAGGCUUCGCUAAAAGAAUGGCUCGCGGCCCAUUAUGCUCGUUGGUGAGGUAACGGCCCACCAAGGCGAUGAUGGGUAUCCGGCCUGAGAGGGUGAACGGACACAUUGGGACUGAGAUCCGGCCCAGACUUCUACGGGAGGCAGCAGUUAAGAAUAUUCCGCAAUGGACGAAAGUCUGACGGAGCGACGCCGCGUGGAUGAAGAAUGCCGAAAGGUUGUAAAAUCCUUUUAAGCCUGAUGAAUAAGCACAGUAGGGAAUGAUUGUGCGGUGACCGUAGGGAUUGAAUAAGCACCGGCUAAUUACGUG
RNAcentral lists this ribosomal RNA (493 nucleotides) under uncultured bacterium. RNAcentral's name for it is "partial 16S ribosomal RNA". It matches the Rfam family "Bacterial small subunit ribosomal RNA", at positions 29 to 507 of the family's 1533-position model. The record is from RNAcentral.